AAAUUGAAGAGUUUGAUCAUGGCUCAGAUUGAACGCUGGCGGCAGGCCUAACACAUGCAAGUCGAACGGUAGCACAGAGGAGCUUGCUCCUUGGGUGACGAGUGGCGGACGGGUGAGUAAUGUCUGGGAAACUGCCCGAUGGAGGGGGAUAACUACUGGAAACGGUAGCUAAUACCGCAUAACGUCGCAAGACCAAAGAGGGGGACCUUCGGGCCUCUUGCCAUCGGAUGUGCCCAGAUGGGAUUAGCUAGUAGGUGGGGUAACGGCUCACCUAGGCGACGAUCCCUAGCUGGUCUGAGAGGAUGACCAGCCACACUGGAACUGAGACACGGUCCAGACUCCUACGGGAGGCAGCAGUGGGGAAUAUUGCACAAUGGGCGCAAGCCUGAUGCAGCCAUGCCGCGUGUAUGAAGAAGGCCUUCGGGUUGUAAAGUACUUUCAGCGAGGAGGAAGGUGUUGAGGUUAAUAACCUCAGCAAUUGACGUUACUCGCAGAAGAAGCACCGGCUAACUCCGUGCCAGCAGCCGCGGUAAUACGGAGGGUGCAAGCGUUAAUCGGAAUUACUGGGCGUAAAGCGCACGCAGGCGGUCUGUCAAGUCGGAUG
This 604-nucleotide ribosomal RNA is filed under the name Citrobacter freundii. Its description in RNAcentral is "bacterial SSU rRNA". It matches the Rfam family "Bacterial small subunit ribosomal RNA", at positions 1 to 594 of the family's 1533-position model. Lineage: Bacteria; Pseudomonadati; Pseudomonadota; Gammaproteobacteria; Enterobacterales; Enterobacteriaceae. The record is from RNAcentral. RNAcentral also lists the same sequence under 1 other name.